Molecule: unclassified non-coding RNA, 516 nt
Filed under: Phytoplasma sp.
Lineage: Bacteria; Bacillati; Mycoplasmatota; Mollicutes; Acholeplasmatales; Acholeplasmataceae
Description: Candidatus Phytoplasma sp. partial contains 16S ribosomal RNA, 16S-23S ribosomal RNA intergenic spacer, and 23S ribosomal RNA
Rfam family: Bacterial small subunit ribosomal RNA (bases 1-224)
Source: RNAcentral
GACUUCAUGAAGUUGGAAUCGCUAGUAAUCGCGAAUCAGCAUGUCGCGGUGAAUACGUUCUCGGGGUUUGUACACACCGCCCGUCAAACCACGAAAGUUGACAAUACCCAAAAACGGUAGCCUAACUACGCAAGUAGAGGGAUCCGUCUAAGGUAGGGUUGAUGAUUGGGGUUAAGUCGUAACAAGGUAUCCCUACCGGAAGGUGGGGAUGGAUCACCUCCUUUCUAAGGAAGUUAAAAUCAUCAUCUUCAGUUUUGAAAGACUUAGAGAAUGAUAAAUUUUUUUGUAAGUUUUUCUUUUUUUAAGAAGAAGGGCCUAUAGCUCAGUUGGUUAGAGCACACGCCUGAUAAGCGUGAGGUCGGUGGUUCAAGUCCAUUUAGGCCCACCAAUCUAAUAUAUAUGGCACCUUCUUAAAAAAAAGUUCUUUGAAAAGUAGAUAAAUAAGGCAACGAAUCAAAAAGCGAAGGAAAUAAGGGCGUACAGUGGAUGCCUUGGCACUAAGAGCCGAUGAAGGAC